UAGUCCACGCCGUAAACGAUGGGUACUAGGCGUCGGGGGGAGCGACCCUUUCGGUGCCGCAGCUAACGCAGUAAGUACCCCGCCUGGGGAGUACGGCCGCAAGGCUGAAACUCAAAGGAAUUGACGGGGGCCCGCACAAGCGGUGGAGCAUGUGGUUUAAUUCGAUGCAACGCGAAGAACCUUACCUGGGCUUGACAUGUACGUGAAACUUCGUGGAAACACGGAGCCCUCUUCGGAGCACGUAUACAGGUGCUGCAUGGCUGUCGUCAGCUCGUGUCGUGAGAUGUUGGGUUAAGUCCCGCAACGAGCGCAACCCUCGCUCCCAGUUACCAGCGGAUUAUGCCGGGGACUCUGGGGGGACUGCCGGUGUCAAACCGGAGGAAGGUGGGGAUGACGUCAAGUCAGCAUGGCCCUUACGUCCAGGGCUACACACGUGCUACAAUGGCCGGUACAACGCGUCGCGAACUCGCGAGGGUAAGCUAAUCACUAAAAGCCGGUCCAAGUUCGGAUUGCAGUCUGUAACUCGA
Molecule: ribosomal RNA, 527 nt
Filed under: uncultured bacterium
Lineage: Bacteria
Description: bacterial SSU rRNA
Rfam family: Bacterial small subunit ribosomal RNA
Source: RNAcentral